This 648-nucleotide long non-coding RNA is filed under the name Panax ginseng (ginseng). RNAcentral describes it as "long non-coding RNA (PGIN_LNC011083)". Lineage: Eukaryota; Viridiplantae; Streptophyta; Magnoliopsida; Apiales; Araliaceae. The record is from RNAcentral.
AAAGAUUAAGCAAAAUUUCUUGGGAGAGUCAUACUAUCCAAAUGCAGCAAAAUAAACAUGAUGAAAUAUGCAUGGUUUCAAGUACCUGAAAGCCUUGGUUCUGCAUGUAGACUUCUAUUGGAUCUGACCGGAGAGGAGUCAGGCGACCGCUUCUCAGCAGUAAGAACUGAAGAUAAGGCAGCUACUGCAGCUGCUCUUUGUGAUCCCUGACUAACUCCUGAUGAGAACUAGCAGGUUUGGCCCCAGAAGAUGAACUAAAUUCAGAGUUUAAGGCAGCUAAUCCCGAAGCUCUUUGAGUUGGUCCUCCCUGAUUCGUCCCAUUGGACUUAUCCCGAUUGUGCAAUAGCAUAAUAAGAGAUCAACAUUCAUGUCACUUCAUUACCUCGUGCAAAAUCAUAAGCAAGAAGAGCCCCGAAGGCACAUAAAAUAGUCAAGCAUUUACAAUCUUCUUCUUUCCAAGGAACAGGUUUAGGAUAGUAAAUGUGAGAUUGUAUAUUCCUUAGGUAUAACACUUGAUAUUACCACUGUAUCAUGUGUUGGAUGAAUUAGAAUGACAACAAAAAUGAUAAAUAACAUUAGAGUUAUAAGAGCAUUUUGUUGGGAUACUAUUUGAAUAUUUGAAGUAUUUGGGGAUUCGAGUUGAGGAAG